Molecule: long non-coding RNA, 2052 nt
Filed under: Ooceraea biroi (clonal raider ant)
Lineage: Eukaryota; Metazoa; Arthropoda; Insecta; Hymenoptera; Formicidae
Description: uncharacterized LOC113561456
Source: RNAcentral
AUCAACAGCGUUCAUUUACGACGACGACGACGAUGAAGCAACGUCAUCUAUUCAUUCGAUACAUUGAAGUCGCAACAUCCGCGACGAUAUACGCGGACUGCGAGUACCAAAUUCACAUAAUGACAAAAUUAUUUGAAUUGUAUUGACUAUUAAUUAUUCAAAAAAGAAUAUACAAAGCAUUUAAUAAAUGUCAUUAAUAUGAAUAUUAGUAUUAUUAGUAUAAAAGUAUAAAUAUUAGUAUCAAAAGUAAUAAAGAAGUUAUUUUUUCUUACAUGCAUACAACAUAUAAAUUCAUAUAGAUAUUAUUUUUACUACUAUAUAGUUCUUUUAAUGGUGCUGCGGCUUGAUAAACUAACACAAGAUCUUUAUAUAAAUGUUGUGCUGUGCAACAAAAUAUUUUCAGAAAUCUCGUCACAUCUCGGACUUUAUUUAAUAAAUUGUACGUAGGAUAACUUCAUCUAUAAGCAUCGAAUUCAUAAUUUCUUUUUUUGCUAGAGAAGAGAAAAGGAAUAUUAUCUGAAAUAAUAAGAAAUGCUUUUGGCGUACUUUAAACAUAUAAUAUAUUCAUUUAUAUGCUUGUACAUGUCUUGUAUUUGUUUUAUACAACAAAAUAUCUAUGACAACAAUACAGUUGAGAACGGUAUACAAUAUAUCGUUAUGCCGGUAUGUUAUUCAUAAAUACGAGAUGUAAGACAGCCUCAUUUUCUUAAGACGUAAUCGUGUUUCGUGUUAGUGUAAAAUACAAUCUCUUGAUUACUCUGGUAUCCAGUCUUUCGAUAUAGCAUUUUCUUCGUUUUUCCGCGUAUGGUAUGUGAAUUUGAUAUAAUGAAGUUGUUUCUGAUAAGAGAUGAAAUCGACAUUGUCCAUCGACGUUACUCGCUCUCACAAAUUAUUAAACUAACGAAUCUCGAUGGAAUGUAUAAUAUGUAUGUAUUGUAGAAAAAAAUCAAUUAUUUAAUUAAAUAAAAUAUAUGUCUCGUUCAAAGAUUAUUAUUGUACUUAAAUCUGCCAUCCUAAAUUACACUUCAAUGAAUAUGCAAAUAACCAAAGUAUUAUGUAUGUACUUACACGAGUACUUUCGCUCGUAAGAACAUUAUAAAAUAGGCCAAUCGGUUCGCAACUCGCAUGGUUUUACGAGCGAGCGCUUCUCUAAAGAUAAAUCCCGAAGCGAUUAUCGCUCAUUAACUCUUUAACGAGAGAGUUCCGUUAGUGAAAAAAUAUGCUAUUUACAUGUAAAAUAUCUAAUUGUGCGUCGAUUCAUUUAAUUCGCCGUUUGGAGUGUAUCAAAAUCUACUUAAUGGAAUAAUGAAAACUUCAUGCUGCCGUUAUUUACAGAUUUUUUUCAUAUACGUACGCAUAGAUAUCUGUAUAUGUAUAUAUCUCUGAUUGUGAGAGUUCACUCAGAGAAUCGUAAUGUAAAUGCAACGAACACAGAGAAUUAUGCGAUGUGAAAUAGAGUAGUAUCGAAUCAUGUUAACAGGUAAUAAAUAUUGAGGAAAUAUUGCUAUUUUGUGAUGAGCGUCGGUAAUUAUAAAAAGCAAGUGUAUAAACGGCAGUAGAGACUUAUAUCUAGAAAAUAUCGAAAUACUGUCGCGUCCUGUACGUUUGAGCGUGAUAACGACGUGUUUCGUUUAACUAACAAGUGCUUCGAUUCUGACUGGUUUCUUUUUCGAGGAACACGCAAAUUCUAGAUUCGAUAAACCACUAAGUUUUCAAAAGUAAAAAAUGAAAAGAUGUUUGUAAAAUAAAAAUAAGAUGAAUGCAUAUAAAGGUUUUUCCUGAUUGGGGCAGAUAUUCGUUUUGUGAUCAGGUUUGUUCUUCCUGAUUAGAUAUUUCGCAGAUCUUUAUGUCUGAAUAUCUUACGAAGUUAUUAUCUUGUAUAAUCAUUCUAUUGUAUCUGUGCGAGUAGUUUUAUGUAGUAAUAUAAUAAAUCUAGAUUUCUAAACCUUGAUAUCAAGAAAUUAAAUUAAAUUAUUGAAGCAAUUAAAGUAUAAUAGUUAAACAUUUAUUAAUAUAUGUCUCACUAUCUUCUGGGAUUUAUUGUCCGAGAAA